UAGCUCAGUUGGUUAGAGCAUCUGACUGUUAAUCAGAGGGUCCUUGGUUCGAGCCC
Molecule: transfer RNA, 56 nt
Filed under: Flavobacteriales bacterium CG11_big_fil_rev_8_21_14_0_20_35_7
Lineage: Bacteria; Pseudomonadati; Bacteroidota; Flavobacteriia; Flavobacteriales
Description: tRNA-Asn
Rfam family: tRNA
About the family: Transfer RNA (tRNA) molecules are approximately 80 nucleotides in length. Their secondary structure includes four short double-helical elements and three loops (D, anti-codon, and T loops).
Source: RNAcentral